UUGCCUCUCAUGUUAUAAUUGCAGAAAGAUUCUUACAAGUGAAAAAUGCUCUAGAAAAAUAUGGUUUUAGAUGUUCAAUGGAAAAUUUUUAGGAAGACAAAUUUAGAGAGUAAGGAUGACAAAGUUAAAGAAUAUGUAAUUCUUGAUAGAUGGUGGGAUAAAUUAGAAUACUUCUUGAGUUUUACAACCCCCAUUUAUGAUAUGAUAGGGAAAGAUGAUAUUGAUACUCCUUGUUUGCAUUUGAUAUAUGAUAUGUGGGACUCUAUGAUUGAAGAAGUGAGGGAGAAAGUUUUUGAGCAUGAGGGUCAAGAUGUAGUUACAGGUCAGUCCGCUUUUUUUUUUUAUGUUCUUCAAGGUGUUUUGGAAGCAAGGUGGAACAAAAGCAAUACUCCCCUUCACUGUAUGGCACAUGCACUAGUUCUGAAGUGGAAUGGUUCCCAGGGUUGCACCUAAUGAAGAUCAAGAAGUAUCUCUCAAUAGAGAUGAAUGUUUCACAAAGAUGUUCACAAAUUCUGAUGAUCUUAAAAAAGUGUAUGCUGAAUAUGGACAGUUCUCGGGGCUUUGGGCUUUUUUAGUGAAACACAUGUAAUGGAAGCUAGGGCGCAUGAAGAGCCCUUGAGUUGGUGGGCCAAUUAUGGUUCAUUGACACCAACAUUGCAAGCUCUAGCAUAUAAGUUUCUUUCAUAGCCUGCAUCUUCCUCCUGGUGUGAAAGAAACUGGAGUUCUUUCCCUAGUAUCCAAAGUCUCAAGAGAAAUAAACUAGCUUCAAGUAGGACUGAGGACCUCGUCUAUGUUCACACCAACCUACACAUGCUGUCUAGAAAGAAGGAAGAGUACAAGGUUGGUCCAUCAAGCUAUUGGGAUUUUGGUGGAGAUGUACUUCUUGUGGAUGAUGACUAUGCUGACACUUUUAUGAAUCUAUUUGUUGAUUACCCGGAUAUUGAAGGUGUGCUUUUCAAGGAUAAAGAAGAGCAAGUGAACUGACGUGGUGGCUGGUGCUGGUUGAUAAAUCUGCUAGUUGAAGAUGCUGCUGACCUAAAGAUUAUGUUUUUGCUUUUUUGUUAGUUCAGUUUAUGUUAGUCAAUAUUUGGAAUUGGCAACUCUAAUUUAUAAAGGUUUCAAAUUGUGUUGGAA
Molecule: long non-coding RNA, 1134 nt
Organism: Glycine soja
Lineage: Eukaryota; Viridiplantae; Streptophyta; Magnoliopsida; Fabales; Fabaceae
Exons: 2
Source: RefSeq, a predicted model, not a curated record